UACGUAGGGUCCAAGCGUUAUCCGGAAUCACUGGGCGUAAAGCGCACGUAGACGGCUUUGUAAGUUAGAGGUGAAAGCCUGGGGCUCAACCCCAGAAUUGCCUUUAAGACUGCAUCGCUUGAAUCCGGGAGAGGUGAGUGGAAUUCCGAGUGUAGAGGUGAAAUUCGUAGAUAUUCGGAAGAACACCAGUGGCGAAGGCGGC
RNAcentral lists this ribosomal RNA (202 nucleotides) under uncultured bacterium. RNAcentral's name for it is "partial 16S ribosomal RNA". It matches the Rfam family "Bacterial small subunit ribosomal RNA", at positions 524 to 725 of the family's 1533-position model. The record is from RNAcentral.